CGAUCAUCACUCUCAAGGUCAAGGUGCUUUACACUUGUCCUCUCCCAGCAUUCAGCACUUCAGACACUCAACACCCCACCCAGACGACAGCCUUACCCCGACCUGAUGAGAAGGAUGGAUGACCAAAGGACAAACUGGAGAGUGGAGCUGUUUUCCAACUAUGGCAGUGUCUUUAGCAAUCCUGGAACAGCUGAGAGUGGACAGAGCUGCACAGAGGACCAAAGAUCCACUCUCAGCA
Oreochromis niloticus (Nile tilapia) is the source of this 238-nucleotide long non-coding RNA. RefSeq lists it as uncharacterized. NCBI's taxonomy places the organism in Eukaryota, Metazoa, Chordata, Actinopteri, Cichliformes, Cichlidae. The record is from RefSeq and is a predicted model, not a curated record. The transcript is spliced from 3 exons.